This 849-nucleotide ribosomal RNA is filed under the name uncultured archaeon. RNAcentral's name for it is "bacterial SSU rRNA". It matches the Rfam family "Archaeal small subunit ribosomal RNA", at positions 27 to 861 of the family's 1478-position model. The record is from RNAcentral.
CAUUGUUCGGUGGGCUAGAAUGCUAGUCGAGCGCUCCUAGCUUGCUGGAGGCCGGCGACAGCUCAGUAACACGUGGCUAACCUGCCCUUGGGACGGAAAUAUCCCCGGGAAACUGGGGUCAAUUUCCGAUAGGCGAAGAACUCUGGAACGAGUCUUCACCCAAAAGACGUUUAGGGCAUGCUCCUAGACGUUGCCCAAGGAUGGGGCCGCGGCCGAUCAGGUUGUUGGUGAGGUAACGGCUCACCAAGCCUAUUACCGGUACGGGCCGUGGGAGCGGUAGCCCGGAGAUGGGCACUGAGACAAGGGCCCAGGCCCUACGGGGCGCAGCAGUCGCGAAAACUUCGCAAUAAGCGAAAGCUUGACGGGGCUAUCCCGAGUGCCAUCUGCUGAAGAUGGCUUUUACCUAGUAUAGAUAGCUAGGGGAAUAAGGAGAGGGCAAGUCUGGUGUCAGCCGCCGCGGUAAUACCAGCUCUCCGAGUUGUGGGGAUAUUUAUUGGGCCUAAAGCAUCCGUAGCCGGCUGAACAAGUCCCCUGUUAAACCCAGCGACUAAUCGUUGGUCUGCGGGGGAUACUGUUCGGCUAGGGGGCGGGAGAGGCCGUCGGUAUUCCUGGGGUAGGGGUGAAAUCCUAUAAUCCCAGGAGGACCACCAGUGGCGAAGGCUGUCGGCUAGAACGCGCCCGACGGUGAGGGAUGAAAGCUGGGGGAGCGAACCGGAUUAGAUACCCGGGUAGUCCCAGCUGUAAACGAUGCGCGUUAGGUGUAUCGGUGACCACGAGUCACCGAGGUGCCGAAGGCAAACCGUGAAACGUGCCGCCUGGGAAGUACGGUCGCAAGGCUGAAACUUAAAG